CAAGUCGAGCGAGAAGACGUAGCAAUACGUUUGUAAAGCGGCGAACGGGUGAGGAAUACAUGGGUAACCUACCCUCGAGUGGGGAAUAACUAGCCGAAAGGUUAGCUAAUACCGCGUACGCUUCUUGGACUUCGGUUCAGGGAGGAAAGCGAUACCGUGGGUAUCGCGCUCUUGGAUGGGCUCAUGUCCUAUCAGCUUGUUGGUGAGGUAACGGCUCACCAAGGCUUCGACGGGUAGCUGGUCUGAGAGGACGAUCAGCCACACUGGCACUGCGACACGGGCCAGACUCCUACGGGAGGCAGCAGUAAGGAAUAUUGCGCAAUGGGCGAAAGCCUGACGCAGCGACGCCGCGUGGGGGAUGAAGGUCUUCGGAUUGUAAACCCCUUUCGGGAGGGAAGAUGGAAUGGGGUAACCCAUUCGGACGGUACCUCCAGAAGCAGCCACGGCUAACUUCGUGCCAGCAGCCGCGGUAAUACGAAGGUGGCAAGCGUUAUUCGGAUUUACUGGGCGUACAGGGAGCGUAGGCGGUUCGGUAAGCCCUUUGUGAAAUCUCCAGGCUUAACCUGGAACAGUCGGAGGGGACUGCCGGGCUAGAGGACGGGAGAGGAGCGCGGAAUUCCCGGUGUAGCGGUGAAAUGCGUAGAGAUCGGGAGGAAGGCCGGUGGCGAAGGCGGCGCUCUGGAACGUUUCUGACGCUGAGGCUCGAAAGCGUGGGGAGCAAACAGGAUUAGAUACCCUGGUAGUCCACGCCUUAAACUAUGAAUACUAAGUGUCGGCGGGUUACCGCCGGUGCCGCAGCUAACGCAUUAAGUAUUCCGCCUGGGAAGUACGG
This 832-nucleotide ribosomal RNA is filed under the name uncultured Nitrospira sp. RNAcentral's name for it is "bacterial SSU rRNA". It matches the Rfam family "Bacterial small subunit ribosomal RNA", at positions 58 to 885 of the family's 1533-position model. Lineage: Bacteria; Pseudomonadati; Nitrospirota; Nitrospiria; Nitrospirales; Nitrospiraceae. The record is from RNAcentral.